Balaenoptera ricei (Rice's whale) is the source of this 280-nucleotide long non-coding RNA. RefSeq lists it as uncharacterized. The record is from RefSeq and is a predicted model, not a curated record. Lineage: Eukaryota; Metazoa; Chordata; Mammalia; Artiodactyla; Balaenopteridae. The transcript has 3 exons.
GCUCUAACGACCCCUGUGUAAUGCUUCAGAGAGGGCCGAACGAGUUCGGGUGCGCACUCCCGUUUACUUUUAACACCAACCUGCGAGAAAAAGUCUGCCAACCUCCUGAUCUAGACCGAAUUUUACCAUAACUGUAUGACCAUGGACAAGCCUAUCCUGCAUGUGGGAUCUUAGCUACCCGACCAGGGAUCAAACCUGCACCCCCUACAUUGGAAGGCGAAGUCUUAACCACUGGACCGCCAAGGAAGUCCCAGUUUUGCCCUUUUCUGAAUUUUAUGUU